Odocoileus virginianus texanus is the source of this 73-nucleotide non-coding RNA. The record is from the annotation of a RefSeq genome assembly. Lineage: Eukaryota; Metazoa; Chordata; Mammalia; Artiodactyla; Cervidae.
UCCCUGGUGGUCCAGUGGUUAAGACUCUGCACUCACAAUGCAGAGGGUCUUGGUUCUAUCCCUGGUCAGGGAA